AUAGCAAGCCUUCAUACACAGCAAGCUUAGGGAGUGUGUGCUGCCUUGGGCAAAGCACGCUGCCCCUUUGACAGCGAAUGCUGUCAGGUGGGCGACGUGCCGCCAUCAUUUGGGUCGUCCAGUUUUUGCACCACCAUCAUGUUGCCAUCAUCACGUAUCCAUCAGUCACAUUUGUUAGUCAUCAUGUCACGUCUAUUAGUCAUCGCAUCACAUCUGUUAGUCAUCGCAACGCAUCAAGUCACUUUUACUUUCCUCUCUCCUCAUAAAAUUUUAUCACUUGGUGUAAAUCUAACAGUCCACAUUUUCUAUAAAUAGGGACACCUCUGUACCAUUUCCUCACCAAUCCAACUUCAUUCUUUCAUCCACCAAAGAGUUUUAAAGAGAGAGAGUGAG
Molecule: long non-coding RNA, 393 nt
Filed under: Carica papaya (papaya)
Lineage: Eukaryota; Viridiplantae; Streptophyta; Magnoliopsida; Brassicales; Caricaceae
Description: long non-coding RNA (CPAP_LNC002128)
Source: RNAcentral